Molecule: long non-coding RNA, 2011 nt
Filed under: Coffea arabica (coffee)
Lineage: Eukaryota; Viridiplantae; Streptophyta; Magnoliopsida; Gentianales; Rubiaceae
Description: long non-coding RNA (CARA_LNC004545)
Source: RNAcentral
GAUAGUCCAGAACAAUAGAAUUUCUGAACACUUUAACAGCAUCAGCAUAUUUUUUGACUUCUUGUGCUGUUUCUUGGGUUGAACCACUUAUAUCUUUGUCGAUGGCCAAGACUCUUUGGUAAGUCUUGAUGUCCUGGAACUUCGAAAGCACUGAACUGUCAUCUGACUGAAUCAAAACUUUCUGAGUAGAUUGCUUAUCCAAUGUGGCGUUGCUCAAGGCAGUGGUGACAGCACCAACAAUGUCAAGACCCUUGUUUGAUGCUAGAUAGGCAGCAUUCUGAUUAAAAGAUCAAGUGUUAAUUAACUUGUGCACGGUUGAAGAGUAUAAUCAUGAUGUUACAUGAGACGUGGGAUAUGUAAAAGUUUUACAAGGAACCCGGAAGUCAAAAUAUAUCUUGACAAAUGGAGUCCAUGAAAGAGUUUGAAGUGAAGUGAAUCUUACUUCAAUGUUAAUUAGAACUCCUGUAACUGCCCUUUUCUUAGCAAGAUCCAAGAAUUCAUUAAGAGUAACGAACUUUCCUGCAUUCUUGUUUGCAGGGUUUCGAGCAAGAGGGCCAUCAAAAACGCUUGCAAGUUGAGCUGAAAAGGGAGAAAAGCAUCAUAUGUCAAAAGCUUGAAAAGGUGUUAUAACCAUUUUACUAUUAAAUAAAGCGUUUUGCUUACGUUUGAGUGAUUGAAUUUCAGUCCAAGUGAGAUCAAAGGAGAAUAUUCCAUUCUUAUCUUGAAUUUCAGGUAUCCUGGUAGAUCGGUCCAUGAAAAGAGAUGCUGCAGUGGUUGUCCCUAUAAGAUCAGCAGAAGGCAAGCAGAAGGCGGUUCCAUCCUUGGACAGUUGAACAGAACAAUCGAUUAUCUCGGUUCCAUCAUCUAUGGCUUUCUGGUAUGCAAGAUCAGUCGACCCAGGGUAAUCUCCACUUGCUCCGUCGUCAGAUAUUAUCAGUGCUUUAAUGCAAGAAGACAACGAGUUAUUCCAUGUAGCAAUAGAUUGCAUAAUUUUGUUUUCCAAGACUAUGAAACGAUACAAAGUGUAACACUAUGAAACGAUACAAAGUCUUACCUUUUACAAUUUUGGGAGCAUUCUUGUUCUGGGCUAGGCAUGCUGCAACAUGAGCAGUUCUCAGGUCAGAACUAGAUCAUGUAAAACCAAGGAAGAAAGCUAAUGUAAAAUUUUGAGACAGUUUCAGUCAGUUUGACUUUUUGAUAGGUUUUACAGUACUCUUCCUUUUGACUCAUUGAGAAAUAUAUUAUAGGAAUGGAGGAGAGAAAAAGCAUAAUCUCACCAAUGGACUCUGAUGCGGUGGCAGGGAAAUCCGUAAUUACCCCGUCAACCGAAAACUGAGAAUUGUCUAUAAACUGCAGAUACUCCUUGGUUGGAUCAUAGCUAUAAUUAUAACUUAAGUAGUCAUCAUUUGCAAAGCCAGAAGCAUACACUUCAACACCUGCUUUGUGGAAAUCAGAUACAGAACUCGUAGCAGGCAGCAAUAGCCUUCCACUAUCUACGGGCCAUAUGCUUUCUUUUGGAAGAAUAAUCCCGGAUGCAAAUGUCUUGAUCAUAUUUAUGUCUGACAGCAGUGUAACAUAUGUCUUCUUCGUUGUAGGUUCAACUUCGUUUAUGUCCGGAAUCUUAAAAAUGAGCUUUGCCGGGUUCACCUUUCCUACUAAGCCCUUCAAGAAUCCAAUCUCUGGUGAUGAAAUGUAUGCAGGAUUCAAGUCUCUCAUGGUAUCUAUAAUAAAUGCUGAUGAGCUGAGUUUCAGUCCGUCGUAGAAACUAGGAUACUGCAGCACAAAAUUGCAACAACAUCAAAUCCAAAUUGUGAAAAACAAAGAAAUCCCAAAAAUUUAUGGACGACUCCUCUAAAAUUCGUGAUUGAUUCUUGGUGUAUUUUGAAUUCUGCUUGUGUUAAAUUACCAUUAAUUAGUGUCAGUUAAAUGAAAAUAAAAGAGCAAGGAAAGGACCUCGACGUUCAUCCAUAGUACUGGAGGAGGACCUUGCAUGCCCACAACAUCAUAGGGU